This 392-nucleotide long non-coding RNA is filed under the name Sorghum bicolor (sorghum). RNAcentral's name for it is "long non-coding RNA (SBIC_LNC013852)". The record is from RNAcentral. Lineage: Eukaryota; Viridiplantae; Streptophyta; Magnoliopsida; Poales; Poaceae.
ACCCACUCUGUCAAGCCGAUGACUGGUUCUUCAUCAGAAUCUGAACUUGCUGCCUCAUCGACAAAUGACACCUUUUUAUUCCAUGCUCUCUUAGGUUCAAAAGGUUUAAUAUCUUGGUCGGAAAUCCUUUGCACCAGAUGACUUAGACUCUCGAACUCUUGAGAAGCAUACUUGUCUCUGAUAUGUGGGAACAACCCCUGAAAAGCCAAAUCGGCUAGCUAUCGAUCGUCCAGAACCAGACUAUAGCACUUAUUCUUAACCUCUCGCAAUCUCUGUACAAAGCUUUCAACCGAUUCAUCAUUGCGUUGCUUCAGCCUAACUAAAUCAGUGAUCUUCUUCUCAUGAACUCCAAAAAAUAAGUAUUUAUGAAAUUGUUUCUCUUGAUCGGCCCA